GCAGCUGAAUGGGAGGCCAGAGAAAGAGAAAGGUCAGGGAUGGCCCAGUGGGGAGGCUGAGUUUCCAGCCUGUGCUCAGGGGUGCAGCUCCUCUUGGAAAGAAGGGGAGGAGGGAAUACCGGGGGUCCGGCUCCUGGCAUUACCCGGGAGCCACUGCUCAGACCUGCCUUUCCACUCCCAGUUUGGAGCCUCACUCGACCCAAAUCCCAUCCCCCUCCCCCCGUUCUCCUGCCACACAAUCACACUUCUGUUCAUGACACACACCGUUCAUGACACCUCUGAGGGCUGCACCUGCGAGUAUGGCCUCUCCCAACAGUCCCCUUGUCACAGCUGAAAGCACCUCAGAAGCAAGGGUGUUGCUCUCCAGGACCUAGCCCUGUAUGUGCUUUAAGAGGACCGGGUGACUGGCCCAACAGCUUCACCCUCUCUGGCUGCCCUCCUCCCUGAGCCUUACUGUGCAGGGCACGUCUGUUCAUCACAAAAAGGCUCAUUCCGUGUGGCUCUGCAGUGUGGCCUCCUCUUAACCUGAGCAACCCCUUCUUGAAGCUCAAUCCCAGUGGCCCGAGAGCCACGAAUUCAGAACUGAACUCCACAUCCAGAAGGGCAAAACCAAGGCUUCCCAAGGACGGAAACCAGGUGCCCAGUCAUUAACCAGUCAGCCCAGAAGCUCCCCAAGCGCAGAACUGGCUCCCUCCCCUCGAACAGGUUAGUGGGCUCGCUCAGAGUGGCUGGGCUGGUAUGGGUUCUUGUUCUACCUGCAGAACUCCUGCUCUAUGGAGUUUAUGCGAACACCCUGUGGUAGAAGGUCCGAAGGAGGAAGCAUGGUGAGCAGGUCAGGAAGACCACAUGCCUGGGACCCCAGCACUCCUGGAGCCAGGGCUGAGGUGGAAAAUGGUGGGGGGGAGGGGAGGGCUUGACGCUUGACUCUGUAACAUUACCUGAAUUGGUCAGGAGAGAUCCUGGUGGGCCUGGUGGGCCUGGCAGGCCUUCUCCUAGAUAAAAGAACCACCAAGACUUUGUAAAGCCCAGUCAUGAACCAAGAUCCCUCUGCCCAGGAAAAGUGGCAGGGAAGCUCUUUCCUGAGAGCCAGGCCUGGGCUCUGGGCACCAUGGUCUUGUGUCUCUCACCAAGGAGCUUAGCUCUCACCUGCUGGGCCUCGGGGUCCUGGCGGGCCUGGAAUGGAAGGUCCUGCAGAAGAGUACAAGCAAGAGGCCAUGCUGAACUCGGGGAGCUGACCUAUGCUAUGAACAGGAUCUCAGCUUCCUAAGUGCCAUGUCCCCCACAAUUCCCCACCUUCCAAUGACCCGAGAUGCUCACCUGGAGGCCCAGGUGGUCCAGGUGGGCCUGGGGGACCUCGUAAAUCAAGACCUUCUGUGGAGGGAACAAAAACAGAAAUGAGCGGAAACUUUCAUGAGGCUGUUCUCUGCCGGCCUCACCCCUCAUUAGGAUCGUCAGUGCCAGGGCCCCGCGCCCCACUCACACCCCAGAGGCCGGCUCUGAGUCAUUGCGCAGGGCCCUCCAGGACCCCCUCUGCUAGCAGUGCUUCUCGCUCACAAGCAAGGCAGGCCAAGGCCGCAGGCAGACUCCCUGAGAGCUAAGUACGAGACUUUGGGAUCAGUCCAAGUUCAAGCUCCUGCUCUGCUCCUUCCAGCUGGUGGCUUUGGGUGAGUUCGCAAUCUCUUUUGGCCUCUGUUUGCUCUUCUCUAAACCAGAGGCAUAAGACCUAUGUCGAGCCCUGUGCAGACCCAGGGAGGUCCCGCAACACAAGUCUAGCACACGGUGACUGUUGGGCCAUGCUUGGCUAUGGUCUUUGCUAUUCAGCUGUCUAAGUGGGAGGCCCAGUGCAUGUUUGCAGGGACUCUUUAAAGGACUCUGGGAACAGAAGAACCAAGAACUCACCCUCCCAGGCCGGGCCUAUGGCCAAGAACCCAUGGAGCCCGGUCCCUACUGAGUGGGGAUGCAGACUCUUGCCAGCCAUUCUCCUAGCACCCAGCUCACUUCAGAAUCCUGAUGUGACCCCAGUUCCCCUAGAAUCCCAAGAACCUCUGACAGCUGCCCCAUCCCAGUGACUCACCCUCUAGAGCUGACAAAAGCCCCGCUGUUGCUUUGAGGCCAGCAUCGCCUUUCAGAGCCACUUGUCAUUCCCGGUCCCAACUGGGGCCCAGGAUGACGCACUGGUCCAGCUGCUGUGGGCCCCCAGUGCACCACCACCCAUCCCGCGCCCGUCCCGGCGUCACCUCAUCCCCAGAGAACACGGGGGGCACUCACGGGUGGA
Mustela erminea (ermine) is the source of this 2275-nucleotide long non-coding RNA. RefSeq lists it as uncharacterized. The transcript is spliced from 3 exons. Lineage: Eukaryota; Metazoa; Chordata; Mammalia; Carnivora; Mustelidae. The record is from RefSeq and is a predicted model, not a curated record.